Molecule: transfer RNA, 126 nt
Filed under: Lachnospiraceae bacterium
Lineage: Bacteria; Bacillati; Bacillota; Clostridia; Lachnospirales; Lachnospiraceae
Description: tRNA-OTHER
Rfam family: tRNA
About the family: Transfer RNA (tRNA) molecules are approximately 80 nucleotides in length. Their secondary structure includes four short double-helical elements and three loops (D, anti-codon, and T loops). Further hydrogen bonds mediate the characteristic L-shaped molecular structure. tRNAs have two regions of fundamental functional importance: the anti-codon, which is responsible for specific mRNA codon recognition, and the 3' end, to which the tRNAs corresponding amino acid is attached (by aminoacyl-tRNA synthetases). tRNAs cope with the degeneracy of the genetic code in two manners: having more than one tRNA (with a specific anti-codon) for a particular amino acid; and 'wobble' base-pairing, i.e. permitting non-standard base-pairing at the 3rd anti-codon position.
Source: RNAcentral
GGGGAUGUAGCUCAGAUGGUAGAGCAUUUGGCCGAAACGUAGUGCCUUGGCAAAGGCACGGACAGCAAACCAGAACGAUGAGGGUAUUUAUGCAGAUUGUCGCAGGUUCGAUUCCUGUCAUCCCCG